This 209-nucleotide ribosomal RNA is filed under the name uncultured fungus. RNAcentral's name for it is "partial 18S ribosomal RNA". It matches the Rfam family "Eukaryotic small subunit ribosomal RNA", at positions 604 to 819 of the family's 1831-position model. The record is from RNAcentral. Lineage: Eukaryota; Fungi.
UUAAAGUUGUUGCAGUUAAAAAGCUCGUAGUUGAACCUUGGGCCUGGUUGGUCGGUCCGCCUCACCGCGUGCACUGAUCCGACCGGGUCUUUCCUUCUGGGGAGCCGCAUGCCCUUCACUGGGUGUGUCGGGGAACCAGGACUUUUACUUUGAAAAAAUUAGAGUGUUCAAAGCAGGCCUAUGCUCGAAUACAUUAGCAUGGAAUAAUA